CACUACGUCACUUCCGGGCCGCCGUCCUGCGGGCAAGGGUGGACACCGUGUGGGAUUGAGAGGGGCCUGGUGGGGUGGGUUCCAACCAACCCGCCCCUCGAGUGCCGGAAUCAGCAGGACGAAUCGGGUCCCAAAGAUGUGGGCAAGACUGUUCCGAGGGUCGAAACUCUGGUUCAGGAUAAGAUUAGCAGGUAUUUCACAGAGUCGACUUAAGGAAGCUAGUGCCGGAGAGGGAAGAAGUACGAAGGGCUUGCCAGUGAGCCUUAAUGACUGAUUGAUCAAGUGGGAGGGCACUGCACUGGCGGUCAGAGAACUGUUCUGUCACUGACUUGCUCUUGUGAUAAUGGUAGGCUAGUGCAUUUCUAGCUCAGGCGCAAAUUUCUCCCGACUCUAAAGUCAUACACUUGCCUUAGAUGAUGCCCAGUGGUCCUCUAAUUAAUGAUUUUUUUUAAGCUUAAAGACCUUCAUACUAUACGUUGGCAAGGGUAAAGUGUAGAGCCUUUGUUUCACAAGAAGCCAGAUAGUAAUUUCUUCUCCAGGAAAUCAUUCCGUAAGUCAGAAUUUCUCCUCUGUACCCACCCAUAAAUGAUAAUACAGGCCGUAUUUUACCUGGUGCUGUAUUUGUGUACCUGUCCGCUGUCAAAAUCCAAGCCCUUGAAGGCAGGCUUCCUUCAGAUCUUCAUUGCCUUGCACAAUGCAAGGGUAGGUACUUCCAUCUUAAUUGAAUUUUUACUUCCCAUAAAAAUUCUUCAUGGUGACUUACAUUAGUCAUCAUUACACAUCACCGUCAGUUUUGUAAGCACAGUGUCAUUCAAGGUAUUGUAAAAUUUUGAGUUUGAUGAUGUGUGACAGUUUCAAUUAUUUUAGUACAGCCCUAAUGAGAACAAGGCCGUAGUAUUGAUUCCCUUCAAAGUUGGCGUCUAAGUGAAGGUCACAUUCACAAGGAGGGCCUAACUGAAAGCAUGUGGAAGCAUCAUUAUAAACUGUUGCUAACACGCACAAAUAAAGGCUAUUAAUAGGUA
Homo sapiens (human) is the source of this 1022-nucleotide long non-coding RNA. The record is from Ensembl. Lineage: Eukaryota; Metazoa; Chordata; Mammalia; Primates; Hominidae.